GAUGAACGCUAGCGGCAGGCCUAAUACAUGCAAGUCGGGCGGCAAGGGAAGUAGCAAUACAACCCCUAGAGCGGCGGACGGGUGCGUAACGCGUAUGCAACCUGCCCCUUACCGGGGGAUAGCCCGGGGAAACCCGGAUUAAUACCCCAUAGUAUAUAUUGACCGCAUGGUUUUUAUAUUAAAGAUUUAUCGGUAAGGGAUGGGCAUGCGUAGGAUUAGUUAGUUGGCGGGGUAACGGCCCACCAAGACUUUGAUCCUUAGGGGUUCUGAGAGGAAGGUCCCCCACACUGGCACUGAGAUACGGGCCAGACUCCGACGGGAGGCAGCAGUAGGGAAUAGUGGGCAAUGGGCGGGAGCCUGACCCAGCCAUGCCGCGUGCAGGAAGAAGGCGUUAUGCGUUGUAAACUGCUUUUAUACGGGAAGAAAAGGCCCAUGCGUGGGACAUUGCCGGUACCGUAUGAAUAAGCACCGGCUAACUCCGUGCCAGCAGCCGCCGUAAUAC
This 502-nucleotide ribosomal RNA is filed under the name uncultured bacterium. Its description in RNAcentral is "bacterial SSU rRNA". It matches the Rfam family "Bacterial small subunit ribosomal RNA", at positions 28 to 526 of the family's 1533-position model. The record is from RNAcentral.